Misgurnus anguillicaudatus (oriental weatherfish) is the source of this 671-nucleotide non-coding RNA. Lineage: Eukaryota; Metazoa; Chordata; Actinopteri; Cypriniformes; Cobitidae. The record is from RefSeq and is a predicted model, not a curated record.
AGUGAUGUCUGAUUUGUUCGCUGACGUUCUGGUUGGGUGCUGCUGGAUCUUGGAGAUCGUGAGUGGUUGAUGGCUGAAAAACAUGAGAAGAGAGGGAGAUAUGAACAGAAAUAUGUAAAGUGAGACAGCAUGAUGAAGAGGGGGGAAUGAGCGGAGCAGGCAUGGACGAUGGUGACUUCAAGUUUGGAAGGGGAACCGAUAGAGCAAACGGAUGUAAGCAGGUGUAAGCUCUCUGUGGGACUGUAUAAGACAGCACAACAUCCUUAACAGAUGUUUCCAGUCUCCAGUGGCACCAGUCAACUGAGAUAGACCCUCAGGGGAGCACCAAGAUGGUGGGACAACCUGGCGCACAGAUAUCUGAUGAUUGGUCAACUCCAGCAUUGGUAUGCAUCCCUCAUAUCUGCCCAGUAUACAAGCCUAUUGUUGGGCAGUUGUUGAAACUGCCGGUGUUUCACAAAGAGGUGAAACAUAGCACUUUCGUGCCCAAAGGGUGCUGCCUCCCAAUGAUUAAAGAUUAAAAAUGCAAGACAUACACAUAAUUACAAAAAACUAAUUAUUUCCCUGAAAAUGAAUUAAAAUAGUGCCUCCACAGGGGAUUUGAGUCUAAUUAUUUCAUUUAACUGUAAAAAAAGGCCCUUGGGGAUAUUUUUGGCUUUUACCUUUAAUUUCAG